UACGAAGGGGGCUAACGUUGUUCGGAAUCACUGGGCGUAAAGGGCGCGUAGGCGGCUUUGUAAGUCGGGGGUGAAAGCCUGUGGCUCAACCACAGAAUUGCCUUCGAUACUGCAUGGCUUGAGACCGGAAGAGGUUAGUGGAACUGCGAGUGUAGAGGUGAAAUUCGUAGAUAUUCGCAAGAACACCAGUGGCGAAGGCGGCUGACUGGUCCGGUUCUGACGCUGAGGCGCGAAAGCGUGGGGAGCAAACAGG
RNAcentral lists this ribosomal RNA (253 nucleotides) under uncultured bacterium. Its description in RNAcentral is "partial 16S ribosomal RNA". It matches the Rfam family "Bacterial small subunit ribosomal RNA", at positions 524 to 776 of the family's 1533-position model. The record is from RNAcentral.